CUAGUCAGAAAGAUUGAUCUAAAAAUAAUGAAAGAUCAAGGGAAUAGAAAGUUGAAUAAAUAAAUUAAUUAAAUUUGCCUGGGGUUCCUGGUAGGUUUCUUUUCUUUUUAUUGGUUUGUUGUUGCUGCUGCUUGUUUUCUUGAUGAACUUCUUCUUCUCCAGUGUUUCCAGAAGAGAAGCUUCCAUCUUCAUUACCUGACAUAUUGUUUGACAUUUUUGGAUACAAUACA
This 230-nucleotide long non-coding RNA is filed under the name Arachis ipaensis. RNAcentral's name for it is "long non-coding RNA (AIPA_LNC001406)". Lineage: Eukaryota; Viridiplantae; Streptophyta; Magnoliopsida; Fabales; Fabaceae. The record is from RNAcentral.